UCUGACUGUGCUAAGGUAGCAUAAUAAUUUGUCCUUUAACUGGGGACUGGAAUAAAUGAGUUGACGAAGAGAAACCUGUCUUUUUCAGGUAGUUUAAAUUUUCCUUUAAGGUUAAAAGGCCUUACAAAACCAAAGGGACGACAAGACCCUAAAAACUUUAUCCCUUAUAGAAAAAUAAGAAAACUAGACCGGGGUUUUACUGGGGCGGUAAAUACAAACAAAAUUAAAUAAAACACACUGAGUGAGCUAAAAGUGCAUGACUACAUACAAAGAAUUAGUUACUUUAGGGAUAACAGCGCAAUUUUUCCAGAGAGUUCUAAUCGGCGGAAAAGAUUACGACCUCGAUGUUGAAUUGAAAUUCCUCCUGAA
This 369-nucleotide ribosomal RNA is filed under the name Ligidium cavaticum. RNAcentral describes it as "partial large subunit ribosomal RNA". It matches the Rfam family "Bacterial large subunit ribosomal RNA", at positions 1941 to 2551 of the family's 2925-position model. Lineage: Eukaryota; Metazoa; Arthropoda; Malacostraca; Isopoda; Ligiidae. The record is from RNAcentral.